GAUGAACGCUGGCGGCGUGCCUAAUACAUGCAAGUCGAGCGAACGGACGAGAAGCUUGCUUCUCUGAUGUUAGCGGCGGACGGGUGAGUAACACGUGGAUAACCUACCUAUAAGACUGGGAUAACUUCGGGAAACCGGAGCUAAUACCGGAUAAUAUUUUGAACCGCAUGGGUCAAAAGUGAAAGACGGUCUUGCUGUCACUUAUAGAUGGAUCCGCGCUGCAUUAGAUAGUUGGUAAGGUAACGGCUUACCAAGGCAACGAUGCAUAGCCGACGUGAGAGGGUGAUCGGCCGCAUUGGAACGUAGACAGGGUCCAGACUCCUACGGGACGCAGCAGUCGGGAAUCUUCCGCAAUAGGCGAAAGCCUUACGGAGCAGCGCCACGUGAGUGAUGAAGGUCUUCGGAUCGUAAAACUCUGUUAUUAGGGAAGAACAUAUGUGUAAGUAACUGUGCACAUCUUGACGGUAACUAAUAAGAAAGCCACGGCUAACUACGUG
Molecule: ribosomal RNA, 497 nt
Filed under: uncultured bacterium
Lineage: Bacteria
Description: partial 16S ribosomal RNA
Rfam family: Bacterial small subunit ribosomal RNA
Source: RNAcentral